RNAcentral lists this long non-coding RNA (599 nucleotides) under Vigna radiata. Its description in RNAcentral is "long non-coding RNA (VRAD_LNC017692)". The record is from RNAcentral. Lineage: Eukaryota; Viridiplantae; Streptophyta; Magnoliopsida; Fabales; Fabaceae.
AGUUGGUACUUGGUGCCAAGAUUUGAAAAUUUUUUAAAGUAUUUGUUUUUUAGACUUAGGCACUGCAGUGCACUCUUUAAAUCCCCAAAUGAUUACUGGUGCCAAAAUCUAGGUGCAAGAAUAUUUUCUAUUUGGUUGGUUUUCAAGGAAACCUAGUUUGGUUUUGAGACUUGGCUCGUUAUUGUUUGGUGCCAUGAUUUGGAAAUUUUUGAAAGUCCUUGUUUUUUACAUUUAGGGAUGUAAUGCACACUUUAAAUCCCGAAAUGAAGACUGGUGACAAAAAAUAGGUGCAAGCAAAUUUUCCAUUUGGUUGGUUUUCAAGCAAGCCAAGUUUCGUGAUGAGAUUUGGCUAUAUUGGUACUUGGUGCCAAGAUUUGAAAUUUUGUGAAAGUCUUGGUUUUUGAGACUUAGGGACUGCAAUGCACUCUUUAAAUCCCCAAAUGCUUACUGGUGUCAAAUCUAGGUGCAAGAAGAUUUUCAAUUUGGUUGGUUUUCAAGCAAACCUAGUUUGGUUGUGAGACUUGGCUAGGUUAUUGUUUGGUGCCAAAAUUUGGAAAUUUUUGAAAGUCUUGGUUUUUGACUUUUAGGGAUGUAAUGCA